GGAACGAAACGGCUCCCCUCAGUUCCAUCACGGCGAGCCGGGACGAUAAGUCGUCGUUGCAUUUUCGUCUCUGAAACUUUUUUUUUUCCAUCCUUCCCGAUAUAAUUAUUCUUCGAUCCACGCGCACAUCAUUCUACCGUUUGUUUGUUUGUUUGUUUGUUUGGUUUCUUUUUUUUUGGUUGAUCUGCUCGUGUGAAUAUAAAAUAGAUAAAAUAAAAAAAAUAACAUUACGAUAAUAAUCGUCGAGAUCCGGGAAAGUGAUUAAGAGAAGAAACACGUCGUUGUCGUCAUUGUUACAGAAAAUAAGACACAAUCAAGAAGAAGAAAUAAUAGAUAAAUAGAAAAAUAGAAGAAAAAGAAGAUUUAAAAAAAGUACGACAGACGUCACAUCGAAGCUGACUCUCCUUUUUCUAUCAACUAUUCGUCUAUUCAUCUACAACGCCAAAUUCAUUUUGAAUUUCAUCCUUGCUGACUUCUGGAUUACGCGUCAAAUUACGUGCCGAAGGGGGAAGCUUAAUAUCACGAGAAGAAGGAUAGGAGCAGGGUGAGAGGGGUGUAGCUGUUGAGGGGGAAAGGAACAAGGUGUAUUCAAGUGAGGUGGUGCAAUUGCAAGGAACGAAAGACGACCCCCAUAACCAUUGCAUUUUUCGCUGUUCAAGAAGAAUCUACUGUAAGGAGACGAGACAUAGGAUGGGCUCAUCCGUGCGAGCACUCGUUCUACAUUGAAGAGGAGGAGUACCGUAAGGGUGGUGGUGGUGG
Molecule: long non-coding RNA, 759 nt
Organism: Polistes canadensis
Lineage: Eukaryota; Metazoa; Arthropoda; Insecta; Hymenoptera; Vespidae
Exons: 4
Source: RefSeq, a predicted model, not a curated record